UCUCCGUUGGUGAACCAGCGGAGGGAUCAUUACCGAGUUUACAACUCCCAAACCCCCGUGAACAUACCUAUCGUUGCCUCGGCGGUGCCCGCUCCGGCGGCCCGCCAGAGGACCCCCAAACUCUUGUUUUAUACAGUAUCUUCUGAGUAACACGAUUAAAUAAAUCAAAACUUUCAACAACGGAUCUCUUGGUUCUG
This 197-nucleotide unclassified non-coding RNA is filed under the name plant metagenome. Its description in RNAcentral is "partial contains small subunit ribosomal RNA, internal transcribed spacer 1, and 5.8S ribosomal RNA". The record is from RNAcentral.